AUACCCUAUUAUUUUUAANGUAAAAGUUUAAGCCGGAGUAGUACUAGUUAUGAUCUUUAAACUUAAAGAAUUUGGCGGUAUUAUAGUCUAUUUAGAGGAAUCUGUUAUGUAAUCGAUAGUCCACGUUGAACCUUACUUAUAUAAAUUCUUGUAUACCGCUGUUUAUUGAAAAUACUUUUAGGUUAUUUUCUGAAUAAAUUAAUAAUUAGAAUUUCAAGUCAAGGUGCAGUAAUAUAUAAGAUAAAUAAUGGAUUACAAUAAAUUAUAUUUAUAUGGAUAUUYUUUUAAAAAGGGAUUUGAAGGUGGA
This 307-nucleotide ribosomal RNA is filed under the name Bolbena hottentotta. Its description in RNAcentral is "partial 12S ribosomal RNA". The record is from RNAcentral. Lineage: Eukaryota; Metazoa; Arthropoda; Insecta; Mantodea; Nanomantidae.